Molecule: long non-coding RNA, 851 nt
Organism: Homo sapiens (human)
Lineage: Eukaryota; Metazoa; Chordata; Mammalia; Primates; Hominidae
Product: long intergenic non-protein coding RNA 1524
Source: Ensembl
AGUGCUGGCGCAAGUCGUCUUGCGCCAGGCGACUGGGUCUGAGGAGGCAGGAGUUAUUCAUUCCCUUAAGCUUUCAGGCCGGGGGGAGAAUCUUUCAGGUGGUAGCUGCAAGAACUCUUAGUAUGUUGACCUCACCUCUGCCUUCCACAUACCACUACCAGUGAGGAAUUAGGAAUGCAUGAGAAGAGUGUCCAAGAAGAGUGUCCUCAUUCAUGCAAGGCUUAAGAGAGAAUGCAGGUCAACAUCACCAUGUCAAUCAGAGAAUACUUCUGUUGGGUUGAAUGACUCUCUGCCCCCAGGUGCAGAUGCUGAGAGCACUUUCUAGUCAAGUCCUGCAUGUUCAUUUCUGUCUCAAGUCAGCUUCUCUGAGAAUCCAAUUUAUAAAAAUAUAUUUGUGAAUGUAUAAGUAAAGUGACUUGGAUUUUGUCUACGUACAAGGACUUCUAUGCCUGCAUAAAACAGAACCUUGUACAGUCCUGAGAAUGAGCCUGGACCAACUUGCUAGAAGAUGAGAAUGGGUAUGAAAGAGAGCUGAGUCCUUCCUACACAGGACAUCGUAGACCAGCCACCUCCAGCCAGCCUGCUAGUUGACCAAGGUGCAUAGGUCAGCUCUGCCUGAUAGAAGUUGGGCCUUAGUCCAGAGGACAUACUAAGCCAAUCUACAGACUUGUAAACUAAAACAAAUGGACAUUGCUUUAAACCACUGAGUUCUGUGGUUGUUUGUGAUAUAGAAUUAUUAUGGUAAUAGAUAACUGGUACAUGAUGGAAAUGCUACAAUUCUGGAAAUCUAAGUGUCCUGACCUUAGAUUUGUGUUAGGAAUCUCAAAAUCACAUAAAGCAAUGUAACUUUA